GACGAACGCUGGCGGCGUGCCUAAUACAUGCAAGUCGAACGCACAGUUUAUACCGUUGCUUGCUACACCAUAGACUGUGAGUUGCGAACGGGUGAGUAACGCGUAGGUAACCUGCCUGGUAUCGGGGGAUAACUAUUGGAAACGUUAGCUAAUACCGCAUAAUAUUAAUUAUUCCAUGAUAAUUAAUUGAAAGGUUCAAUUGCACCACUACCAGCUGGACCCGUUUUGUAUUAGCUAGUAGGGGAGGUAACGGCUCACCUAGGCCAAGAUACAUAGCCGAACUGAGAGGGUGGUCGGCCACACUGGGAAUGGGACACGGCCCAAACUCCUACGGGAAGGAACAAGAAGGAAACUUCGGCAAAGGGGGGAAGGCUGAACGGGCAACGGCGCGGGAGUGAAGGAGGGUUUCGGAACGGAAAGAUCUGUUGUAAGGGAAGAAAGGGUGGGGGAGUGGAAAGUUCACACUGUGACGGUAUCUAACCAGAAAGGGACGGCUAACUACGUG
RNAcentral lists this ribosomal RNA (505 nucleotides) under uncultured bacterium. Its description in RNAcentral is "partial 16S ribosomal RNA". It matches the Rfam family "Bacterial small subunit ribosomal RNA", at positions 28 to 507 of the family's 1533-position model. The record is from RNAcentral.